AGAUCAAUGGCAAAGUCUGAGAUCUGCUUCCUGCUACUGGAGACCGCACUUAGCAUGAAAGGACAGGGAUAGAGUAAGGGUGAAUUUAGUACUUGAGGAAGGAGCCAGACUGGGAGUUCUGAAGGCUCAAGUCUCCUAUUCAUCCAGAAAACAAGCACAGCUGCCUGCCAACUCUGUAGGAGAAGGACCACUUCUAAGGGAUAUUUAGUUUCUAUGGCCAGCUUAGUCCUAACCCCUUUCCUGAGACCACCAACACAUCAAUGAGCACUGGUUGGUGAGGUGAAUUUUGUGAUGUGGGUUCCUGUCCAUUAGAAAGUGAACUGAGACCACAAACUCCUUUCACAUAGAUUUACAAGCAGCCAGACUAAUGGCUGUUGACCACUCCUGAGCUGAGCUAAAAUUGAACGAAUGCCCUAGAUGUAAAAAACUCCCUUCCUAAUAGCAAAUAUAUCGAGCUAUUUCCUAGCUCGCUAUUUUGUAACUUCUUACACCAAGAAGAACUUCACUGACUCAUCGCUACUAUCCUUAUGCCUCCUACAGCAAGAGCACCCUUGGACAACUACAUAUUCCUCUUUCUAAAACAAUGAAAACCCACCCACACCAACACACCUAUCCUGAUUCUUUGCACUUGGGCUUGGUCCUACUCAUAUAUUUGCUAUGCAAACAGAGCUCCCAUUGAUCUGAAUGAGAGAUUGGACCCAUAAAGCAUAAACCUAAAAUAAGGCCACCUAGAUUUUUAGAAUACCAGCUAAAUUAAUGCUUGUUAACACUCAACAAAUGCUUUUAUACGGUUGUAUGAGGAGAAUGAAGAUUGCUAGGCUGGUUUUGACCCUGGGAAUCUCUCAUACCCCGAUGAAGUGCAUUGCCAACCCAUAUGCGAGCCUUGAAUGAGUCUGAAUAUGUAACUGGAGGUAUGCUGAUUCAUGUUUGUAGUGCAUCCUUUAUCACAGCCUACCACUCCAGCAGUACACACAAAAUAUUAAUAUCUGAUUGUAUCAAUAGUCAAAGCAAUUCUAUUCCUCUCUAUAUAGACCACCAGGUUUUUGUUUCUUCAGGUGCCCAUUAGGUGAUUAAAUAGUUGGUUUAAUUAAAAAACCUCACCAUUUUAAAAUAGUAUUCUAAUUUUUAGCCUGUGAAUUUUCUUUCUAAAACCUUGACAGUCAUGGUCACCACUCCCACAUCCUGGUUAUUUUCAUUAGAACUAAGUUUCACCAAGAUGUCCAGAAUACGUCUAUCGAUCUAUAGAAGUCCCUGAACAUCCCCAGGCAAUUCAGAAGUAAGCCUGUAAGGAAAAUGGUGGGGUGGGGGGGAGGGGAGGAGAGUGUUUAACUGGAGAAUUAAAAAUUUUAUGAAACAAAACCCAAGUCAGUGGGGUUUAUUUUGGUACGUUGAGGAAAGAUGUUUGUUUAUGUAUAAAUAGUGGUGUAACUUUGCAAAAAGGAUUGUAAAUAUGAGCAUUUCAUUUUUUCUGUUAAAAAUCUGGCACAAAGCCUACACUCUCUAAAUUGUGAUUUCAAUCUCCUUGGAUUGGCAUAAAGCCAGAACUGUUGGCUAAUUUCCAAUUUAAUACCACAGCAUCCAAUCGCAGCCUGUGUCAGCAUUUCCAUUAUAAACCUCUGUUUUCUGAGGUUUGUAAUUUGGCUUUAAAAAGGUUGGUUAACCCAAGCCCAAAUGUUAAAAUAAUAAAAAAAAAUCUGUUAAUGAGCUUGAAUAGGACUUUUGCCUGAGUAAGGAUUGCGGGAUUUGGUUUAUGUUGCAAUACCUGUUCACCCAGGAUAAUUAUCUACCUGGACACAUUGCACCAUAGCCAUCCAUGUCUUUAAGUAGGGGCUGCCCCAUUUAAGACCAUGACAUUGCACCCAUUUAUACCAGCUGUAAAUCUGGCCCAUUGAAUAUGAAUGAGCGACAUCAUUGUCUGCCAUGGUGUGAACUUCAAAAAGGUAGUUGUGUAUUUAUAACCUUCCUCUCCCCCUUUUUAUCUCUCUGUCAAGCCCCCACUAUUUAGUUCCCCUCAUAUGAAGUGUAGUUUGUUUAGAUUUGUCCUGCUAUCCAGUGCUUGGGUGAAGAAGGAUCAUUUUUACAAACAUUAUUAAAGUGCACCACACUCCCUCACUACUAUUGAGCAGUGAUUAGUUUUUGAAUGCCAUCACAUCUGUAUGCAGGACCAGGUACUGGACUUGCCGUGCAUGGCCUCUCUACUAUUUGUUGCAGUUUUAGAAGUUAGUGGUAAGAUGAUUUUGUCUGGUAAAUAGCUCUGUCACAAUGGGCUCAAUUCUGUUUUCCAUGAAGCCUGUUCGUGCGCAUGGGACUGACUGUUUGUAAAGGUGUUCAGCAUGGGGUGCUGGAACUAUUUGUAUAGUGGGGGUGCUGAGAGCCAUUGAACCAAAUCGUAAACCCUGGAUAUGAUGGAAGUAGGGGUGCUACCGCACCCCCUGGCUUGAAGUAGUUUCCAACACCUAUGGUUCAGCAAGGUUUGGGUCCUCCAUACCGGGUGACUUUAAGCCUAAUCUCCCUGCAUGUUUGCCUGUGUUUGUCAGAAGAGCCAUUAGGUGGGGCUCUCCUCACAAUGAAGAGGUUUCAUUUCAAACCUGUAGGACACAAGUAAACAGUGCAAUUAAUACUGUCAAACAUUAUCAAUAUAGUACAGAUAAAGUUGUCCCUAAAAAGAACCUAUUCUGUGAUUCAGGCACAUUUUGCAAUGAUGUAUAAUAAGAGGUGCUCAUAAUUAGCAUAUUUCUAUUUUAUAAAUAUUUAUCAAGGCUAAAUUAAGAGUACAGCUGAACGCUCUCUAUUAAAGUCAGCAUGUUUUGUGGCACAACUUCCCUUCAAACAGAAAUGAACAGACGUUCACUCUAGUCAGAGUUCCAUUUCAGGAUUUAGUGGAACUGCGCUAUAUCAGGGUUUGCGAUAACUAGGUUCCAUUUUACUAAGUAAGAGAGCAACCAAAAAACUAAAAAUAAAAGAGCAGAACCAGAAACAGCUUUGCUUGUCACCCUCGUAUUUUAGGUAAUACCUACAACUUAAUUUUACUCCAGCUGCACGUUUCUUUAUAUGGCAACAGACACUGCAAAGUUGCACAUUAAAGAGGAAGGAGCAUAUUUUUAGAAGCAUGAUGUAACACUGUACAUUCAAUCACUUCCCAGGGUUGCAGAAUCAGAACUAUAAGUUAGAAAAGAUUUCCUAAAUUUAAAUGAUGACACGCCACUGUUUUGACGCUAAAUAUCGAGCAAUAUCUGCCUAUUAACCACCUAUUUUUAGCAUGAUCUGACUAUUAAUUUGUCCAACAAUACUGCUGUUAAUUUAUCAAACAAUACUGCUGUUAUUCCUCUGCAUCAAGGUUAUGUACACAAUAGCGUUAUCUCUGUGCUUUAAUUUGACAAAUGCUCAAUUCUGAAACAAGGUGGGUGAGGUAAUAUCUUUUAUAGGACCAAAAUUUUGUUGGUGACACUGCAUUCUGUUGGAGAGCGAGGAGCACAUUGGAGGUAUAUUCUUCUCUCGGUCCACAGACAUUUAUGCUUGUAGCUCCUACUGCAACAGCGUUAUUCAGAGUUAUACACACAAAACGUGGCCCAUUGUGAAGAUACCACAUCCUGUUAUUUUUAAAGAUGAGUAUGCCUCUAAAUCUUUGCUACUGUCUUGCAUUGCCCUUAAGAGGAUGUAUGUACAGUAUUCUUGCUAAUAAACGCUCCACACCUCUGUAACAAAAGAAAGAGUAUCCUGUUCUAUUAUACCACAUAUUAAAAACUUUCAUGGUA
Molecule: long non-coding RNA, 3755 nt
Organism: Malaclemys terrapin pileata
Lineage: Eukaryota; Metazoa; Chordata; Testudines; Emydidae
Exons: 2
Source: RefSeq, a predicted model, not a curated record